AACUGAUACUACCUGCGGGAACCUGCGGAAGGAUCAUUACAGAGUUGCAAAACUCCAAACCAUUGUGAACUUACCUUUGCCGUUGCUUCGGCGGGCGGCCCGGGUCCCGACCCGGCGCCCCCCGGCCCCGUCAGGGGCGCCCGCCGGAGGUAAACCAAACUCUUGAAUUGUAUGGCCUCUCUGAGUCUUCUGUACUGAAUAAGUCAAAACUUUUAGCAACGGAUCUCUAGAUCGGAAGAG
RNAcentral lists this unclassified non-coding RNA (240 nucleotides) under soil metagenome. Its description in RNAcentral is "partial contains 5.8S ribosomal RNA, internal transcribed spacer 2, and large subunit ribosomal RNA". The record is from RNAcentral.